RNAcentral lists this non-coding RNA (31 nucleotides) under Mus musculus (house mouse). The record is from RNAcentral. Lineage: Eukaryota; Metazoa; Chordata; Mammalia; Rodentia; Muridae.
UAGAAGGCCUAAGGUGUGUAUAACUGUCAAG